RNAcentral lists this ribosomal RNA (364 nucleotides) under uncultured bacterium. Its description in RNAcentral is "bacterial SSU rRNA". It matches the Rfam family "Bacterial small subunit ribosomal RNA", at positions 29 to 418 of the family's 1533-position model. The record is from RNAcentral.
AACGAACGCUGGCGGCAGGCCUAACACACGCAAGUCGAACGCCCGUAGCAAUACGGGAGUGGCAGACGGGUGAGUAACGCGUGGGAACGUGCCCUUCGGUUCGGAAUAACUCAGGGAAACUUGAGCUAAUACCGGAUACGUCCGUAAGGAGAAAGAUUUAUCGCCGAAGGAUCGGCCCGCGUCGGAUUAGCUAGUUGGUGAGGUAACGGCCCACCAAGGCGACGAUCCGUAGCUGGUCUGAGAGGANGAUCAGCCACAUUGGGACUGAGACACGGCCCAAACUCCUACGGGAGGCAGCAGUGGGGAAUCUUGCGCAAUGGGCGAAAGCCUGACGCAGCGACGCCGCGUGAGGGAUGACGGCCUC